Molecule: long non-coding RNA, 847 nt
Organism: Cyprinus carpio carpio
Lineage: Eukaryota; Metazoa; Chordata; Actinopteri; Cypriniformes; Cyprinidae
Source: Ensembl
CACUACGAAAUUUGUUUCUGACAGAAGCAAAUCAAGGCAAUCCAAUUCUUUCCCAUGCCUCCAUCUGAAAAGUAGGAGGAAAAAAAUAAAUAAAUAAAAGAGUCAAAUAAUGACCCCUAUAACAUAUAGUGUUCCAAAUGUUAAGCGACUUCAGCUGAUGAUGGGUCCAUCUGGUAUUUUUAUGGUGUAAGGGCUGGGUCAGCAUAAGAAAAAAAGCCAUGCUUUGUUUAGUGAUGUCAGUAGCUGUUGCGCUGGCUGGGGAGAACUGCUAGCAUGCGCAGCUCCUCGUUAGUAUAGUGGACAGUAUCUCCGCCUGUCACGCGGAAGACCGGGGUUCGAUUCCCCGACGGGGAGAGCUAGAUCCUUUUCUGCUUGCUGAACGACCCAUCCAAAAGUUUUUUUGAUGCAGCCACGAAGCUCACAGAAGGAGUUCUGCUUCAACAUCAGCCCUGAGCCAAAGGAAAUGCGUUGGCCGGGAAUCGAACCCGGGUCAACUGCUUGGAAGGCAGCUAUGCUCACCACUAUACCACCAACGCAGGCAGAAGGUGCCAGAAAUACAGGUCACUCGCAAAAGCUCCCCUCCACGGAAAUCUUUAGUAAAAGGCGAAAGAUUUAUGCGACAAUGAAGAGAAACUCGAGCUGUAUCCCCACCCCCUUGGGCCUGUGCGCUGCCAGUGGUAAGCCACUAUUCUCACCUAGGGUCAUCAAUGGUGAAGACACCUGCCCACAUGCAUUUCGUCACCCCCUCACUCCAAAGGGGAGGAGUAAAGGUCACAAAAAAUUCCCGUCAGUCACCUAAUGACCACAAGCCAAAUCAAUCAGAAUCAGAAUGAGCUUUAUUGCCAGG